Molecule: transfer-messenger RNA, 354 nt
Filed under: Lachnospiraceae
Lineage: Bacteria; Bacillati; Bacillota; Clostridia; Lachnospirales
Also listed under: 1 other name
Description: Fusicatenibacter merdavium Standard tmRNA
Rfam family: transfer-messenger RNA
About the family: Bacterial tmRNA, also known as 10Sa RNA or SsrA, is named for its dual tRNA and mRNA-like properties. Its role is to liberate the mRNA from a stalled ribosome. To accomplish this part of the tmRNA is used as a reading frame that ends in a translation stop signal.
Source: RNAcentral
GGGCUUGUACUGGUUUCGACGGGGGUUUUGAAGUUUGGGAAGCCAUCCGCGGACUCCGGGACCGCGCAACAACCUGGAACUUAAAAUUAAACGCAGAUAAUAAUGAAUUAGCGUACGCUGCCUAAUGGCGGCUGUCGAAGCGUGAGAUUCCCGCGGCUCAUUCUUCGGCAUCAAACAUCAGCGGGGCACUUCUUCGCCAAAGCUUUGCGGUGAUGAAAGAUUUUAUGAAGCUACUGAUGCAUUCAGCCUGUCAUCCGGCGUAAUGCAAAGGGAAUGUUAAAAGAAUGACUGUGAUGGGAGAUGCCUGGAUGGAUGGGCUUUCGGACGCGGGUUCGAUUCCCGCCAGGUCCAUAU